GCAGGGAGUUGUUGCAGAGCAGAUAGGGUCUUGCAGGGAGUUGUUGCAGAACAGGAAGGGUGUGCAGGGGGUCUUGCAGAGCAGAUAGGGUGUGCAGGGAGUUGUUGCAGAGCAGACAGGGUGUGCAGGGAGUUGCAGAGCAGACAGGGUGUGCAGGGGGUUGUUGCAGAGCAGGAAGGGUGUGCAGGGGUUGUUGCAGAGCAUAUAGGGUGUGCAGGGGGUCUUGCAGAGCAAACAGGGUGUGCAGGGAGUUGCAGAGCAGGAAGGGUGUGCAGGGGUUGUUGCAGAGCAUAUAGGGUGUGCAGGGGGUCUUGCAGAGCAGACAGGGUGUGCAGGGAGUUGCAGAGCAGGAAGGGUGUGCAGGGGUUGUUGCAGAGCAUAUAGGGUGUGCAGGGGGUCUUGCAGAGCAGACAGGGUGUGCAGGGAGUUGCAGAGCAGGAAGGGUGUGCAGGGGUUGUUGCAGAGCAUAUAGGGUGUGCAGGGGGUCUUGCAGAGCAGACAGGGUGUGCAGGGAGUUGCAGAGCAGG
This is a non-coding RNA of Pelobates cultripes (western spadefoot toad), 527 nucleotides long. The record is from the annotation of a GenBank genome assembly. Lineage: Eukaryota; Metazoa; Chordata; Amphibia; Anura; Pelobatidae.